RNAcentral lists this ribosomal RNA (467 nucleotides) under uncultured bacterium. RNAcentral describes it as "partial 16S ribosomal RNA". It matches the Rfam family "Bacterial small subunit ribosomal RNA", at positions 29 to 507 of the family's 1533-position model. The record is from RNAcentral.
ACGAACGCUGGCGGCGUGCUUAACACAUGCAAGUCGAACGGAAAGGCCCUGCUUUUGUGGGGUGCUCGAGUGGCGAACGGGUGAGUAACACGUGAGUAACCUGCCCUUGACUUUGGGAUAACUUCAGGAAACUGGGGCUAAUACCGGAUAGGAGCUCCUGCUGCAUGGUGGGGGUUGGAAAGUUUCGGCGGUUGGGGAUGGACUCGCGGCUUAUCAGCUUGUUGGUGGGGUAGUGGCUUACCAAGGCUUUGACGAGUAGCCGGCCUGAGAGGGUGACCGGCCACAUUGGGACUGAGAUACGGCCCAGACUCCUACGGGAGGCAGCAGUGGGGAAUAUUGCACAAUGGGCGGAAGCCUGAUGCAGCAACGCCGCGUGCGGGAUGACGGCCUUCGGGUUGUAAACCGCUUUCGCCUGUGACGAAGCGUGAGUGACGGUAAUGGGUAAAGAAGCACCGGCUAACUACGUG